Molecule: long non-coding RNA, 1445 nt
Organism: Mytilus californianus (California mussel)
Lineage: Eukaryota; Metazoa; Mollusca; Bivalvia; Mytilida; Mytilidae
Exons: 5
Source: RefSeq, a predicted model, not a curated record
UUACUUGUUCUCAAAUAAUUUCUGGUCAUAUUGGCGUGAAAAAGCCAGAAAACCAGUCGACAUAUAGCGGGUUGCAAUUGGCAAACAAAACAAUUUCUCUCUUAGUCUGAUAAGUUGCAGACAAUUUAGUCACUGUACUUAACAAAUGAAUGUCAACAUAAAAACUACAAACUGAAUGACUAGCAUUCAUACACGAAACAUACAGAUAUGGAAUGACCAGCAUUCACAAUUAUAGGUACUUAGGGUGCAAUACCGUCUUUCCCCAAACAACACAAAAUGACUAGCAUUCACAAUUAUAGGUACUUAGGGUGUAAUACCGUCUUUCCCCAAACAACACCAAAUGACUAGCAUUCACAAUUAUAGGUACUUAGGGUGCAAUACCGUCUUUCCCCAAACAACACAAAAUGACUAGCAUUCACAAUUAUAGGUACUUAGGGUGCAAUACCGUCUUUCCCCAAACAACACAUAAUGACCAGCAUUCACAAUUAUAGGUACUUAGGGUGCAAUACCGUCUUUCCCCAAACAACACAAAAUGACUAGCAUUCACAAUUAUAGGUACUUAGGGUGUAAUACCGUCUUUCCCCAAACAACACCAAAUGACUAGCAUUCACAAUUAUAGGUACUUAGGGUGCAAUACCGUCUUUCCCCAAACAACACAAAAUGACUAGCAUUCACAAUUAUAGGUACUUAGGGUGCAAUACCGUCUUUCCCCAAACAACACCAAAUGACUAGCAUUCACAAUUAUAGGUACUUAGGGUGCAAUACCGUCUUUCCCCAAACAACACCAAAUGACUAGCAUUCACAAUUAUAGGUACUUAGGGUGCAAUACCGUCUUUCCCCAAACAACAUCAAAUGACUAGCAUUCACAAUUAUAGGUACUUAGGGUGCAAUACCGUCUUUCCCCAAACAACACAUAAUGACUAGCAUUCACAAUUAUAGGUACUUAGGGUGCAAUACCGUCUUUCCCCAAACAACACAAAAUGACUAGCAUUCACAAUUAUAGGUACUUAGGGUGCAAUACCGUCUUUCCCCAAACAACACAGAAUGACUAGCAUUCACAAUUAUAGGUACUUAGGGUGCAAUACCGUCUUUCCCCAAACAACACAGAAUGACUAGCAUUCACAAUUAUAGGUACUUAGGGUGCAAUACCGUCUUUCCCCAAACAACACAGAAUGACUAGCAUUCACAAUUAUAGGUACUUAGGGUGCAAUACCGUCUUUCCCCAAACAACACCAAAUGACUAGCAUUCACAAUUAUAGGUACUUAGGGUGCAAUACCGUCUUUCCCCAAACAACACCAAAUGACUAGCAUUCACAAUUAUAGGUACUUAGGGUGCAAUACCGUCUUUCCCCAAACAACACAUAAUGACUAGCAUUCACAAUUAUAGGUACUUAGGGUGCAAUACCGUCUUUCCCCAAACAACACAUAAUGACUAGCAUUCACAA